AGAGUUUGAUCAUGGCUCAGAUUGAACGCUGGCGGCAGGCCUAACACAUGCAAGUCGAACGGUAACAGGAANNNNNNNNNNNNNNNNNUGACGAGUGGCGGACGGGUGAGUAAUGUCUGGGAAACUGCCUGAUGGAGGGGGAUAACUACUGGAAACGGUAGCUAAUACCGCAUAACGUCGCAAGACCAAAGAGGGGGACCUUCGGGCCUCUUGCCAUCGGAUGUGCCCAGAUGGGAUUAGCUUGUUGGUGGGGUAACGGCUCACCAAGGCGACGAUCCCUAGCUGGUCUGAGAGGAUGACCAGCCACACUGGAACUGAGACACGGUCCAGACUCCUACGGGAGGCAGCAGUGGGGAAUAUUGCACAAUGGGCGCAAGCCUGAUGCAGCCAUGCCGCGUGUAUGAAGAAGGCCUUCGGGUUGUAAAGUACUUUCAGCGGGGAGGAAGGGAGUAAAGUUAAUACCUUUGCUCAUUGACGUUACCCGCAGAAGAAGCACCGGCUAACUCCGUGCCAGCAGCCGCGGUAAUACGGAGGGUGCAAGCGUUAAUCGGAAUUACUGGGCGUAAAGCGCACGCAGGCGGUUUGUUAAGUCAGAUGUGAAAUCCCCGGGCUCAACCUGGGAACUGCAUCUGAUACUGGCAAGCUUGAGUCUCGUAGAGGGGGGUAGAAUUCCAGGUGUAGCGGUGAAAUGCGUAGAGAUCUGGAGGAAUACCGGUGGCGAAGGCGGCCCCCUGGACGAAGACUGACGCUCAGGUGCGAAAGCGUGGGGAGCAAACAGGAUUAGAUACCCUGGUAGUCCACGCCGUAAACGAUGUCGACUUGGAGGUUGUGCCCUUGAGGCGUGGCUUCCGGAGCUAACGCGUUAAGUCGACCGCCUGGGGAGUACGGCCGCAAGGUUAAAACUCAAAUGAAUUGACGGGGGCCCGCACAAGCGGUGGAGCAUGUGGUUUAAUUCGAUGCAACGCGAAGAACCUUACCUGGUCUUGACAUCCACGGAAGUUUUCAGAGAUGAGAAUGUGCCUUCGGGAACCGUGAGACAGGUGCUGCAUGGCUGUCGUCAGCUCGUGUUGUGAAAUGUUGGGUUAAGUCCCGCAACGAGCGCAACCCUUAUCCUUUGUUGCCAGCGGUCCGGCCGGGAACUCAAAGGAGACUGCCAGUGAUAAACUGGAGGAAGGUGGGGAUGACGUCAAGUCAUCAUGGCCCUUACGACCAGGGCUACACACGUGCUACAAUGGCGCAUACAAAGAGAAGCGACCUCGCGAGAGCAAGCGGACCUCAUAAAGUGCGUCGUAGUCCGGAUUGGAGUCUGCAACUCGACUCCAUGAAGUCGGAAUCGCUAGUAAUCGUGGAUCAGAAUGCCACGGUGAAUACGUUCCCGGGCCUUGUACACACCGCCCGUCACACCAUGGGAGUGGGUUGCAAAAGAAGUAGGUAGCUUAACCUUCGGGAGGGCGCUUACCACUUUGUGAUUCAUGACUGGGGUGAAGUCGUAACAAGGUAACCGUAGGGGAACCUGCGGUUG
RNAcentral lists this ribosomal RNA (1522 nucleotides) under Shigella boydii. RNAcentral's name for it is "bacterial SSU rRNA". It matches the Rfam family "Bacterial small subunit ribosomal RNA". The record is from RNAcentral. Lineage: Bacteria; Pseudomonadati; Pseudomonadota; Gammaproteobacteria; Enterobacterales; Enterobacteriaceae.